AUACUUACCUGGCAGGGGAGAUACCUUGAUCAAGAAGGAGGUUCACCCAGGGCAAGGCUUGGCCAUUGCACUUCAGCUGUGCUGACCCCUGCGAUCAUAGUGAUGAUGUAGCGCUUUUCUGAAC
Lepisosteus oculatus (spotted gar) is the source of this 124-nucleotide small nuclear RNA. Its record names the gene U1. It matches the Rfam family "U1 spliceosomal RNA". From Rfam's summary of the family: U1 is a small nuclear RNA (snRNA) component of the spliceosome (involved in pre-mRNA splicing). Its 5' end forms complementary base pairs with the 5' splice junction, thus defining the 5' donor site of an intron. The record is from Ensembl. Lineage: Eukaryota; Metazoa; Chordata; Actinopteri; Semionotiformes; Lepisosteidae.